UAUAUUUUAUUGUAAAAUAAGAUGUUUUAUAAAAUAAUACACUUUAUAAAAUUGGAGAACUUGUUUAUCUCAGGAGAUGAAAUAUUUCGUAAUAAUUCACGGUAUCCACACUAGAUGUCGACUUUAGGUCGUGUAUUUAAUAUGGCGCGUAUAUUCUGAAGUACGUAGGUAGCCAAUGCUGGCGGGACUUGCGCCUCAGAAGGUUUUUGUACCGCAACGCGUACGGUAGCACGUGCUUGAAAGUUGUUCACUUCGUAUUCACUUACCAGCUUAAUGAUCAAUGCCCGCGAUUCCUUGAAAGCACGAGUUAUUAUCGAGAUUGUGCACGAGUCAUGGCCCGUUCUUAACCUAGAAUCACGUUCGAUUAAAACUGUUUUGUUGCGCGCGCGAAUCGUCGCAGAAAAGUCGUACGUGCGAAAUGUAACGUAACAUCGAAGGAGAGUUCGCACGGGUCUAGUUUAACGGUUGUAACAUAAAACUUUCGAUAUUAUAUCCCUUGGUUUUUGCGAAUUUUUGUUGAUAACAUUAACAAGCGAAUGGCUGUUCAAACGGAUUAUAACAAGAACGUAUCAAUAACGGCACGAUCUAAGAUUGUAAACGUAAACACUAUUACGCGUUGCUUAUUAUCUUGCGACAAAUGUGUAUUAGAACCGGUCUUUCCUUAUUCGUCAAUCGAACUUCGGUAGUUUUUAUUUGUUGAUGAUCGACUUAAUCGAUGAUAAUUUGUUCGUUGCGCAAAAUCUGUUUAAUGGUGCUUCCAAUCAAUGUUCCCGAUAAUAUUCAUUUAUGCGUCGAAUUAAGAAACGUUUGAUUUGCCGUUUUUUCGUGAAGUGACAACCGGUAAAGUCAUUACAAAUUUAAAUUUAUUGUGUGCAAGUGAUUAUGUGUUUAUUUUUGUUGAUGUAAAAAAGAUUUUGUUUUCUGUCUAUAGUUCUGAUAGUUAAAAAAAUUGAAUUUAUUAAGCUCAUAAGUUGUGAAGUGCAUUGUGAAAUUUCGAAGUGAAAAACAAAAAUUGAAGAAUCGUUCAACAUAUUCUAAGUGAUAUACUCUGCAACAGUUGGAACACACUCGAAACGAAGAU
Apis florea (little honeybee) is the source of this 1081-nucleotide long non-coding RNA. Lineage: Eukaryota; Metazoa; Arthropoda; Insecta; Hymenoptera; Apidae. The record is from RefSeq and is a predicted model, not a curated record.